AAAGGUAUAGCUCAGUGGUAGAGUACAUGCUUAGCAUGCAUGAGGUCCUGGGUUCAAUCCCCAGUACCUCCA
This 72-nucleotide transfer RNA is filed under the name Camelus bactrianus (Bactrian camel). It matches the Rfam family "tRNA". From Rfam's summary of the family: Transfer RNA (tRNA) molecules are approximately 80 nucleotides in length. Their secondary structure includes four short double-helical elements and three loops (D, anti-codon, and T loops). Further hydrogen bonds mediate the characteristic L-shaped molecular structure. tRNAs have two regions of fundamental functional importance: the anti-codon, which is responsible for specific mRNA codon recognition, and the 3' end, to which the tRNAs corresponding amino acid is attached (by aminoacyl-tRNA synthetases). tRNAs cope with the degeneracy of the genetic code in two manners: having more than one tRNA (with a specific anti-codon) for a particular amino acid; and 'wobble' base-pairing, i.e. permitting non-standard base-pairing at the 3rd anti-codon position. The record is from Rfam by way of RNAcentral. Lineage: Eukaryota; Metazoa; Chordata; Mammalia; Artiodactyla; Camelidae. RNAcentral also lists the same sequence under 2 other names.